AUUGAACGCUGGCGGCAUGCCUUACACAUGCAAGUCGAACGGCAGCACGGGUGCUUGCACCUGGUGGCGAGUGGCGAACGGGUGAGUAAUACAUCGGAACAUGUCCUGUAGUGGGGGAUAGCCCGGCGAAAGCCGGAUUAAUACCGCAUACGAUCUACGGCUGACAGCGGGGGCCCUUCGGGCCUCGCGCUAUAGGGUUGGCCGAUAGCUGAUUAGCUAGUUGGUGGGGUAAAGGCCUACCAAGGCGACGAUCAGUAGCUGGUCUGAGAGGACGACCAGCCACACUGGGACUGAGACACGGCCCAGACUCCUACGGGAGGCAGCAGUGGGGAAUUUUGGACAAUGGGCGAAAGCCUGAUCCAGCAAUGCCGCGUGUGUGAAGAAGGCCUUCGGGUUGUAAAGCACUUUUGUCCGGAAAGAAAUCCUUGGCUCUAAUACAGUCGGGGGAUGACGGUACCGGAAGAAUAAGCACCGGCUAACUACGUG
This 486-nucleotide ribosomal RNA is filed under the name uncultured bacterium. RNAcentral's name for it is "partial 16S ribosomal RNA". It matches the Rfam family "Bacterial small subunit ribosomal RNA", at positions 30 to 507 of the family's 1533-position model. The record is from RNAcentral.